RNAcentral lists this transfer RNA (86 nucleotides) under Gemmatimonadota bacterium. RNAcentral's name for it is "tRNA-Ser". It matches the Rfam family "tRNA". From Rfam's summary of the family: Transfer RNA (tRNA) molecules are approximately 80 nucleotides in length. RNAcentral also lists the same sequence under 8 other names. The record is from RNAcentral. Lineage: Bacteria; Pseudomonadati; Gemmatimonadota.
GGAGGGGUGGCCGAGUGGCUUAAGGCGGCGCCCUGCUAAGGCGUUGACUCGAAAGAGUCUCGUGGGUUCGAAUCCCACCCCCUCCG